RNA transcript from Cavia porcellus (domestic guinea pig), 1676 nucleotides. It is a transcript of the gene named cytosolic arginine sensor for mTORC1 subunit 1, with no coding region annotated. The transcript is spliced from 9 exons. The record is from RefSeq and is a predicted model, not a curated record. Lineage: Eukaryota; Metazoa; Chordata; Mammalia; Rodentia; Caviidae.
CGCGGCUUAGCGGGCGGCGUGGUUACGGCCUCACGGCGGCUCCUUUAAAUGCCGGGCGCCACCCCGCCACCCCGCCUCCGGUCUGGGUCUAGCUAGCGGCCAGGCCUCAGCCGCGCGAUCCGCAAUGGAGCUGCACAUCCUAGAGCACCGAGUGCGGGUGCUGAGUCUCGCCCGCCAGGGUCUCUGGCUCUACACCCACCCGCUCAUCAAGCUGCUUUUCCUGCCCCGCCGCAGCCGGUGCAAGUUCUUCAGCCUGACCGAAACCCCUGAAGAUUACACGCUCAUGGUGGACGAGGAGGGCUUUAAAGAACUGCCCCCAUCCGAGUUCCUGCAAGUGGCGGAUGCCACGUGGCUGGUGAUGAACGUGUCCUCUCACAGUGGUGGGGCAGUGCAGGCUGCUGGGGUCACCAAGAUCGCGCGCUCUGUCAUCACACCACUGGCCGAGCACCACGUGUCCGUGCUGAUGCUGUCCACUUACCAGACAGACUUCAUCCUGGUGCGAGAACAGGACCUGUCGGUAGUGAUCCACACUCUGGCCCAGGAGUUCAACAUUUACCGCGAGGUGGGCGGGGAGCCUGUGCCUGUUGCUAGGGAUGAUUCCAGCAAUGGCUUUCCCCGCACCCAGCAUGCAGGGCCCAGUCCCACGGUGCAUCCCAUUCAGAGCCCGCAGAACCGCUUCUGUGUCCUCACAGUCGAUCCUGAGACUCUGCCAGCCAUUGCCACCACGCUCAUCGAUGUCCUCUUUUACUCGCACAGUGCCCCCAAAGAGGCAGCCUCGGCCAGCCCUGAAUCCAGCUCCAUCCCAUUCUUUGCCUUCUCCCUUAUUGAGGGAUACAUCUCCAUUGUUAUGGACGCCGAGACACAGAAAAAGUACGUGACCCCCGACCCUGGGUGGGCUACAGACGCCAGGCCAGCCCCAGAAAGUGAAAAGGCAGGGUGCAGACUCAGGCCAGCAGGUUCCCCAGCAACCUCCUGCUGACCAGUUCUUCCGGGGAGCUAUGGAGGAUGGUGCGCAUCGGUGGACAGCCCCUGGGUUUUGAUGAAUGUGGGAUCGUUGCCCAGAUUGCUGGGCCCCUGGCUGCUGCUGACAUCUCUGCCUACUACAUCAGCACUUUCAACUUUGAUCAUGCUCUGGUGCCUGAGGAUGGCAUCAGCAGCGUCAUUGCUGUCCUUCAGCGAAGGCAGGAAGGCUUGGGCUCCUAAGGCUUGGAGGGAGCUUGGCUGUCUGUCAUCCCUGGAUUUCCAGAGACUUCUUUAAGCUAUUAUUUCCUCAAUCUCUGGUUCCUACCUGGGGACCCCUUGUACUGCUCUCUGUGUGUAAGCUGCACGCAGGCACUGUUCUCUAGUGGACAUGUGUGUGCACCUCCAGUUGGAGUGGGCAGGUGCUGGCCCAUGCAUGUCCACCCAUGCAGGGGAAUACGGUGCUCGGGGCCCACGCCCCAACCCCAUCAUUCCCUGCGAGGCCUCAGCAUUUGCACAGUCCCUGCUUGAGGCCUGAGCCAUUCCCUCUUGCUCCCUGGGGCCUGCUGCCCCCCAGGAGGGCUCCAAUCCUGUCUGGCUGGGGUGCCUACCUGGCCAGGUGAUUCUGACAGUGCCUCCCCAUCCUGGGGCUUCUUAGAAAAGUAUUUUUACAUCUCUCUCUUCUAAUUGAGUAUUAAUAAAGGACUUUAUAUUGA